CACAUGCAAGUCGAACGAUGAAGCCCAGCUUGCUGGGUGGAUUAGUGGCGAACGGGUGAGUAACACGUGAGUAACCUGCCCUUGACUUCGGGAUAACUCCGGGAAACCGGGGCUAAUACUGGAUAUGAGCCGUCCUCGCAUGGGGGUGGUUGGAAAGUUUUUCGGUCAGGGAUGGGCUCGCGGCCUAUCAGCUUGUUGGUGGGGUGAUGGCCUACCAAGGCGACGACGGGUAGCCGGCCYGAGAGGGCGACCGGCCACACUGGGACUGAGACACGGCCCAGACUCCUACGGGAGGCAGCAGUGGGGAAUAUUGCACAAUGGGCGCAAGCCUGAUGCAGCGACGCCGCGUGAGGGAUGAAGGCCUUCGGGUUGUAAACCUCUUUCAGCAGGGAAGAAGCGCAAGUGACGGUACCUGCAGAAGAAGCGCCGGCUAACUACGUGCCAGCAGCCGCGGUAAUACGUAGGGCGCAAGCGUUGUCCGGAAUUAUUGGGCGUAAAGAGCUCGUAGGCGGUUUGUCGCGUCUGGUGUGAAAACUCGAGGCUCAACCUCGAGCUUGCAUCGGGUACGGGCAGACUAGAGUGCGGUAGGGGAGACUGGAAUUCCUGGUGUAGCGGUGGAAUGCGCAGAUAUCAGGAGGAACACCGAUGGCGAAGGCAGGUCUCUGGGCCGCAACUGACGCUGAGGAGCGAAAGCAUGGGGAGCGAACAGGAUUAGAUACCCUGGUAGUCCAUGCCGUAAACGUUGGGCACUAGGUGUGGGGCUCAUUCCACGAGUUCCGUGCCGCAGCAAACGCAUUAAGUG
Molecule: ribosomal RNA, 802 nt
Filed under: Cellulosimicrobium funkei
Lineage: Bacteria; Bacillati; Actinomycetota; Actinomycetes; Micrococcales; Promicromonosporaceae
Description: bacterial SSU rRNA
Rfam family: Bacterial small subunit ribosomal RNA
Source: RNAcentral